This 906-nucleotide ribosomal RNA is filed under the name uncultured candidate division SR1 bacterium. Its description in RNAcentral is "bacterial SSU rRNA". It matches the Rfam family "Bacterial small subunit ribosomal RNA", at positions 9 to 922 of the family's 1533-position model. The record is from RNAcentral. Lineage: Bacteria; Candidatus Absconditibacteriota.
GAGUUUGAUCCUGGCUCAGGAUGAACGCUAGCGGAAUGCUUAACACAUGCAAGUCGAACGAACAUUGUUUUGUAGCAAUACGAGAUUAUGUUAGUGGCAAACGGGCGAGUAAUACGUACUUAAUCUGCCUUUGAGUUGAGAACAACUACAGAGAUGUAGCUAAUUCUCGAUAUUCCCUAUAAAAUGAAAAUAUAUAGGGGAAAGAUUUAUCGCUCAAAGUGGAGGGUGCGGCCUAUCAGGUAGUUGGUGGGGUAAUGGCCUACCAAGCCUAUGACGGGUAACCGGUCUGAGAGGAUGUCCGGUCGCAAUGGAACUGAGAAACGGUCCAUACUUCUACGGAAGGCAGCAGUGGGGAAUAUUGGACAAUGGGCGGAAGCCUGAUCCAGCAAUUCCGCGUGGAGGAUGAAGCUUUACGGAGUGUAAACUUCUUUUUUGGUGGAAGACGAAUGACGGUACACCAAGAAUAAGGGACGGCUAACUACGUGCCAGCAGCCGCGGUAAUACGUAGGCCCCGAGCGUUAUCCGGAUUUACUGGGCGUAAAGCGUCUGUAGCCUGAUUAACAAGUCUGUUUUCAAAAACCUCGACUUAAUCGAGGAGAGGGAAUAGAUACUGUUAGACUAGAGGUUAUUAGGGGUUAGUGGAAUUUCCGGUGUAGCGGUGAAAUGCGUUGAUAUUGGAAGGAAUGCCAAAAGCGAAAGCAGCUAACUAUAAUAAACCUGACGGUCAGAGACGAAAGCUUGGGUAGCAAACGGGAUUAGAUACCCCGGUAGUCCAAGCCGUAAAUUAUGUUCGCUAAGUGUCUUUGGUCGACUUGUCGACUAGGGGUGCUGUAAGUUAACACAUUAAGCGAAUCGCCUGGGUAGUAUACUCGCAAGAGUGAAACUCAAAGGGAUAGGCGGGGGAGC